RNAcentral lists this ribosomal RNA (987 nucleotides) under Myroides odoratus. RNAcentral's name for it is "bacterial SSU rRNA". It matches the Rfam family "Bacterial small subunit ribosomal RNA", at positions 284 to 1272 of the family's 1533-position model. The record is from RNAcentral. Lineage: Bacteria; Pseudomonadati; Bacteroidota; Flavobacteriia; Flavobacteriales; Flavobacteriaceae.
CUGAGAGUGAGAGAUCCCCCUCCACUGGGUACUGUAGACACGGAACAAGAUCCUCUGGAGGCAGCCAUUGAUGAUAUUGGUCAAUGGAAGGGCAACUCUUGAAACCAGCAUCCCGCGUGCAGGAAGACGGUCCUAUUGAUUUGUACACGCUUUUGUACGGGACGAAAAUGUAAUUACGAGUAAUUAUUGGACGGUACGGUAGGAAUAAGGAUCGGGCUAACUCCGUGCCAGCAGCCCGCGGUAAUACGAGGGAUCCGAGCGUUAUCCGGAAUUAUUGGGUUAAAAGGGUUUGUAGGCGGUUGAGUAAGUCAGUGGUGAAAUCUUAUAGCUUAACUAUAAAAUUGCCGUUGAUACUGCUUGACUUGAAUAGUAUGGAAGUAAUUAGAAUAUGUAGUGUAGCGGUGAAAUGCUUAGAUAUUACAUGGAAUACCAAUUGCGAAGGCAGAUUACUACGUACUUAUUGACGCUGAUGAACGAAAGCGUGGGUAGCGAACAGGAUUAGAUACCCUGGUAGUCCACGCCGUAAACGAUGGAUACUAGCUGUUCGGUUUUCGGACUGAGUGGCUAAGCGAAAGUGAUAAGUAUCCCACCUGGGGAGUACGUUCGCAAGAAUGAAACUCAAAGGAAUUGACGGGGGCCCGCACAAGCGGUGGAGCAUGUGGUUUAAUUCGAUGAUACGCGAGGAACCUUACCAAGGCUUAAAUGUAGAUUGACAGGUUUAGAGAUAGACUUUUCUUCGGACAAUUUACAAGGUGCUGCAUGGUUGUCGUCAGCUCGUGCCGUGAGGUGUCAGGUUAAGUCCUAUAACGAGCGCAACCCCUAUUGUUAGUUGCCAGCGAGUAGUGUCGGGAACUCUAACAAGACUGCCGGUGCAAACCGUGAGGAAGGUGGGGAUGACGUCAAAUCAUCACGGCCCUUACGUCUUGGGCUACACACGUGCUACAAUGGCCAGUACAGAAAGCAGCUACCAGGCAACUGGAUGCGAAU